UGCUGUGAGGCAUGCUGGAGGUAUCAGAAGUGCGAAUGCUGACAUAAGUAACGAUAAAGCGGGUGAAAAGCCCGCUCGCCGGAAGACCAAGGGUUCCUGUCCAACGUUAAUCGGGGCAGGGUGAGUCGACCCCUAAGGCGAGGCCGAAAGGCGUAGUCGAUGGGAAACAGGUUAAUAUUCCUGUACUUGGUGUUACUGCGAAGGGGGGACGGAGAAGGCUAUGUUGGCCGGGCGACGGUUGUCCCGGUUUAAGCGUGUAGGCUGGUUUUCCAGGCAAAUCCGGAAAAUCAAGGCUGAGGCGUGAUGACGAGGCACUACGGUGCUGAAGCAACAAAUGCCCUGCUUCCAGGAAAAGCCUCUAAGCAUCAGGUAACAUCAAAUCGUACCCCAAACCGACACAGGUGGUCAGGUAGAGAAUACCAAGGCGCUUGAGAGAACUCGGGUGAAGGAACUAGGCAAAAUGGUGCCGUAACUUCGGGAGAAGGCACGCUGAUAUGUAGGUGAAGUCCCUUGCGGAUGGAGCUGAAAUCAGUCGAAGAUACCAGCUGGCUGCAACUGUUUAUUAAAAACACAGCACUGUGCAAACACGAAAGUGGACGUAUACGGUGUGACGCCUGCCCGGUGCCGGAAGGUUAAUUGAUGGGGUCAGCGCAAGCGAAGCUCUUGAUCGAAGCCCCGGUAAACGGCGGCCGUAACUAUAACGGUCCUAAGGUAGCGAAAUUCCUUGUCGGGUAAGUUCCGACCUGCACGAAUGGCGUAAUGAUGGCCAGGCUGUCUCCACCCGAGACUCAGUGAAAUUGAACUCGCUGUGAAGAUGCAGUGUACCCGCGGCAAGACGGAAAGACCCCGUGAACCUUUACUAUAGCUUGACACUGAACAUUGAGCCUUGAUGUGUAGGAUAGGUGGGAGGCUUUGAAGUGUGGACGCCAGUCUGCAUGGAGCCGGCCUUGAAAUACCACCCUUUAAUGUUUGAUGUUCUAACGUGGACCCGUGAUCCGGGUUGCGGACAGUGUCUGGUGGGUAGUUUGACUGGGGCGGUCUCCUCCUAAAGAGUAACGGAGGAGCACGAAGGUUGGCUAAUCCUGGUCGGACAUCAGGAGGUUAGUGCAAUGGCAUAAGCCAGCUUGACUGCGAGCGUGACGGCGCGAGCAGGUGCGAAAGCAGGUCAUAGUGAUCCGGUGGUUCUGAAUGGAAGGGCCAUCGCUCAACGGAUAAAAGGUACUCCGGGGAUAACAGGCUGAUACCGCCCAAGAGUUCAUAUCGACGGCGGUGUUUGGCACCUCGAUGUCGGCUCAUCACAUCCUGGGGCUGAAGUAGGUCCCAAGGGUAUGGCUGUUCGCCAUUUAAAGUGGUACGCGAGCUGGGUUUAGAACGUCGUGAGACAGUUCGGUCCCUAUCUGCCGUGGGCGCUGGAGAACUGAGGGGGGCUGCUCCUAGUACGAGAGGACCGGAGUGGACGCAUCACUGGUGUUCGGGUUGUCAUGCCAAUGGCACUGCCCGGUAGCUAAAUGCGGAAGAGAUAAGUGCUGAAAGCAUCUAAGCACGAAACUUGCCCCGAGAUGAGUUCUCCCUGACCCUUUAAGGGUCCUGAAGGAACGUUGAAGACGACGACGUUGAUAGGCCGGGUGUGUAAGCGCAGCGAUGCGUUGAGCUAACCGGUACUAAUGAACCGUGAG
RNAcentral lists this ribosomal RNA (1676 nucleotides) under Shigella sonnei. Its description in RNAcentral is "partial 23S ribosomal RNA". It matches the Rfam family "Bacterial large subunit ribosomal RNA", at positions 1259 to 2915 of the family's 2925-position model. The record is from RNAcentral. Lineage: Bacteria; Pseudomonadati; Pseudomonadota; Gammaproteobacteria; Enterobacterales; Enterobacteriaceae.